ACCUAUAACUAACUUCCUAGUGAAAGUUUCAAUAAUUACAAAUUAUAGGCAAAAGUAGUUAAUAGUUAUUUGAAUAUUUAUAAGAAUUAUACAAAUCAGAUGAAAAAUAAUCUAACUGAAAUAGGAGAUAAAAAAGGAAAUUUGAAAGCAACCCAACAACAAUUAGAGAUAAACAAGGAAUGUUAAAUGCAAUCAAUUUUCUUAAAUUUCUUCAAUACAAUCAAUUUCCUUAAAUUCUUCCAACUUGUCCACAUAUUUCUCCUUCAUAACUGAACAUUAAAUUUUAUUUUUAGAAAUCUGCCAAAAAUGGAGAAAAAAUGUUUUCUUAAGAUUUGAAUAAGCAGUAGAAGAUUUCAAUUCAUACAAUUGAUAACAGGUCCUAUUGAACAAAUUGAAGUAAUUGCUAUGAAUGAGUAAUUUCAAGCAAAUUUUUCUGGACCAAAUCAUAAUAAAGUUUUGAUUGAUCAGGUGUAUACGAAGAAAACUAUUUUGAAGCCGGUAAUGACGUCGUACUCAAUCAGACACAAAUUUCAAUUCAAUACGAUAAAGUCAAAUGUAAACCGAUAAGUAAAAUGUAUUUAAAAUUGUGUAGGUCAGCGUAUUUGUAUGAGCAUGUAAUUUUGUACACGUUUGUAUACUUGUACAAGUAUAUGUAUGUUUGUAUAUUUGUAUAUGUAAGUAUAUUUGUAUAAGUUUUCUUAAUGUUUGGACAUUUGUAUAUGUAAUUGUAUUUGUAUAAGUAUAUGAUUUGAAAGUAUUAAAUGCA
Molecule: long non-coding RNA, 766 nt
Organism: Capsicum annuum
Lineage: Eukaryota; Viridiplantae; Streptophyta; Magnoliopsida; Solanales; Solanaceae
Exons: 2
Source: RefSeq, a predicted model, not a curated record